GCCGGGAUGGCGGAAUUGGUAGACGCGCCAGACUUAGGAUCUGGUAUCGCAAGGUGUGCAGGUUCGAGUCCUGUUCCCGGCA
Molecule: transfer RNA, 82 nt
Filed under: Luteolibacter pohnpeiensis
Lineage: Bacteria; Pseudomonadati; Verrucomicrobiota; Verrucomicrobiia; Verrucomicrobiales; Verrucomicrobiaceae
Rfam family: tRNA
About the family: Transfer RNA (tRNA) molecules are approximately 80 nucleotides in length. Their secondary structure includes four short double-helical elements and three loops (D, anti-codon, and T loops). Further hydrogen bonds mediate the characteristic L-shaped molecular structure. tRNAs have two regions of fundamental functional importance: the anti-codon, which is responsible for specific mRNA codon recognition, and the 3' end, to which the tRNAs corresponding amino acid is attached (by aminoacyl-tRNA synthetases). tRNAs cope with the degeneracy of the genetic code in two manners: having more than one tRNA (with a specific anti-codon) for a particular amino acid; and 'wobble' base-pairing, i.e. permitting non-standard base-pairing at the 3rd anti-codon position.
Source: Rfam by way of RNAcentral